CCUACGGGGGGCAGCAGUGGGGAAUAUUGGGCAAUGGAGGCAACUCUGAUCCAGCAACGCCGCGUGAAGGAAGAAGGCCUUCGGGUUGUAAACUUAUGUUGUAAAGGAAGAAAAGAAUGACGGUACUUUACAAGAAAGCCCCGGCUAACUAUGUGCCAGCAGCCGCGGUAAGACGUAGGGGGCAAGCGUUGUUCGGAAUUACUGGGGGUAAAGGGAGCGUAGGCGGGAGCUUAAGUUAGGAGUGAAAGCCUUGGGCUCAACCCAAGAACUGCUCUGAAUACUGGGUUUCUGGAGUGGGGGAGAGGUAAGUGGAAUUCCGAGUGUAGCGGGAGAAUGCGUAGAUAGUAGGAGGAACAACAGAGGCGAAGGCGGCUUUCUGGACCAUAACUGACGCUGAGGCUCGAAAGCGUGGGGAGCAAACAGGAUUAGAUACCCUGGUAGUC
Molecule: ribosomal RNA, 443 nt
Filed under: uncultured bacterium
Lineage: Bacteria
Description: partial 16S ribosomal RNA
Rfam family: Bacterial small subunit ribosomal RNA
Source: RNAcentral